This 327-nucleotide ribosomal RNA is filed under the name uncultured eukaryote. Its description in RNAcentral is "partial 18S ribosomal RNA". It matches the Rfam family "Eukaryotic small subunit ribosomal RNA", at positions 1470 to 1796 of the family's 1831-position model. The record is from RNAcentral.
CCCUUAGAUGUUCUGGGCCGCACACGCGCUACACUGAAGGAGGCAGCGUGUACUCCUGGAUCGAAAGAUUUGGGUAACCCGCGAAUCUCCUUCGUGCUAGGGAUUGAGGUUUGCAAUUAUCCUUCAUGAACGAGGAAUUCCCAGUAAGUGCAAGUCAUAAGCUUGCGCUGACUACGUCCCUGCCCUUUGUACACACCGCCCGUCGCUACUACCGAUUGAAUGAUGUAGUGAGGACUUCGGACUGGGACCGAUGCGGCUUUCGGGCUGCGUCGGUAUUCUGGAAAGAUGUCCAAACUGUAUCAUUUAGAGGAAGUAAAAGUCGUAACA